This 25-nucleotide non-coding RNA is filed under the name Cricetulus griseus (Chinese hamster). Lineage: Eukaryota; Metazoa; Chordata; Mammalia; Rodentia; Cricetidae. The record is from RNAcentral.
UCUGAUAGGCUACUAGGAGUCGGCU